This 253-nucleotide ribosomal RNA is filed under the name uncultured bacterium. RNAcentral describes it as "partial 16S ribosomal RNA". It matches the Rfam family "Bacterial small subunit ribosomal RNA", at positions 524 to 776 of the family's 1533-position model. The record is from RNAcentral.
UACGGAGGGUGCGAGCGUUGUCCGGAAUCACUGGGCGUAAAGGGCGCGUAGGCGGCCUGAUAAGUAGGGGGUGAAAUCCUGCGGCUUAACCGCAGGGCUGCCUUCUAAACUGUCAGGCUAGAGCACAGUAGAGGCAGGUGGAAUUCCCGGUGUAGCGGUGGAAUGCGUAGAGAUCGGGAAGAACAUCAGUGGCGAAGGCGGCCUGCUGGGCUGUUGCUGACGCUGAGGAGCGAAAGCGUGGGGAGCGAACAGG